CUUACUUUUUUAUAGCACCUCCUCAUAUCCCUGUUAUAGAUUUAACUGUAUCAUGUCUUUGUAAUACUACCUUUCAGUAACACAUGGCUCUUUGGAGGGCUAUGUUUUUGUUGGUUUUUCUACUAGCUGUCAAGGUGCAGUAUGUUAGUUGCCCUGGUGACACAUGGCAUAGGACAGCUACCCUGGCUUCUCAUUUGGACACGAGUGCUCCUGCGCCACAGCCCGACAGGAGUGACAUCUGUGGCAACCACACUGUUUCCUGCAAACCUGCUGAAUCUAGUGCUGCUAAGGCUAUUGUCGAUUUCAACUCAGCCGUAUCUUCCUUCUUCAUUGUACCUAUGAUACGAGUGUUGAGGUUAGAGCAUAACAGCCGUACUGAGUCAGAUACACAAUUUUGGUGGUACCUUUGCUGUGGCUCUAGUGGUUAAUCAUAUGGGUAUAUUACUUCUGUGACUGUUCCUCAUUCCAUCAAGCAGCGAUCUUUCCAAUAUAUAUGCUGUCAAUAUUGGGGGCAAUUGUCCAUCUCAUCCUUUUACUUCUUGCUACAUAUUUGACCUUUGGUGUGCGGGAUAAGAGACCAAUUCCACUGGUUUUAGUACCAGGAUCAUCCUUCAUCAUUGCUAGUCUGUUGUGGGUGUCUGGACUGGAUUGGAUUGGAUGGUUGGGCUUCUCAUUGACUGCCCUUUCACAUUGCUUCCGGCUCGGAGCUACGGUACGAUUUAACCUUUUUUAGUUUUAAAUUCAGAUUAUUAAUUUAUAAUUAAUCUAUUUACAGUCCCCAUACUAUGAUCUUCCUUUGUAAUUUAGUUUUCUAGAAAUAUGAAAUGAAACAUUACAAUGAGAGCAUAGGUCGGUUGGCUGAUGUUCUGGUGGUGGUUCGGUGCCCACAGUUUUGGAAUAGUGUAUGCACAUGUAGAGCACAUGUAGGAUUAAAUCCUAAGAGGA
Molecule: long non-coding RNA, 945 nt
Organism: Panicum hallii
Lineage: Eukaryota; Viridiplantae; Streptophyta; Magnoliopsida; Poales; Poaceae
Exons: 4
Source: RefSeq, a predicted model, not a curated record